CGUGUAGGCGGUUGGUCAAGUCGGGUGUGAAAGCCUGGGGCUCAGCUCCAGAAGUGCAUCCGAUACUAGCCAGCUAGAGCGCGAUAGAGGAGGGUGGAAAUUCCUGGUGUAGCGGUGAAAUGCGUAGAUAUCAGGAGGAACACCGGCGGCGAAGGCGGCCCUCUGGAUCGUUGCUGACGCUGAGACGCGAAAGCGUGGGGAGCAAACAGGAUUAGAUACCCUGGUAGUCCACGCCCUUAAACGAUGGGUACUAGGUGUUCGGGGUGUUGACCCCCUGAGUGCCGCAGUUAACGCAUUAAGUACCCCGCCUGGGGACUACGGCCGCAAGGCUAAA
This 334-nucleotide ribosomal RNA is filed under the name uncultured bacterium. RNAcentral's name for it is "bacterial SSU rRNA". It matches the Rfam family "Bacterial small subunit ribosomal RNA", at positions 568 to 898 of the family's 1533-position model. The record is from RNAcentral.